Salvia hispanica is the source of this 677-nucleotide long non-coding RNA. RefSeq lists it as uncharacterized. NCBI's taxonomy places the organism in Eukaryota, Viridiplantae, Streptophyta, Magnoliopsida, Lamiales, Lamiaceae. The record is from RefSeq and is a predicted model, not a curated record.
UAAACACAGAAGUAGCUGAAAUUUAUUAAGUUCAGUCUCCCUUAAACUAGAACACAAAGGUCAUAAUUACAAAGUUAGAAGAAGGAAGGGAAACAACAUAUAAUUGCAAUUAGUAAUGAAAUCAAAGGAUCAAUUAGUUGUUCAUAUUUAUAUACCUUCUCCAAGUUGGGCAUAAGAUAGCUUAGUCCUUGCAAUUCUGCUGGAUAACUUGUAAAAGCUUCAAUUGCUAGAGAGAGAUUAAUUACAAUGAAACGCCUGAAUUAGAGGAGAAGACUCCGAAAAUAACACAAAAAGACAAUUAGUGAUUCAAUAAACUCCAAAUUAGUAGUUGAGGUCAACUAAAAUAACCGUGUUGAAUUUUGAUAUGAAGGAGAUUUGGAAAGAGAGAGAAGACGACUUUGAAGUGAAUUGGAAAAGACUAGGCUAUGCUGCUGCUGCUCGUCAUAUGCUCGAUAAAAGGCCUGAACGUCCAUUCUGCCAUAGAAACUGCAUAAGGUCAGCUUUCUACUUGGCAAAUUCAACAUUUCACUAGUAUUAUACUCUCUCUAUAUGUAAUUUUAAGCUUACACUUGAUCAUUCAAUAGUUGGAUAUGAUUUGACCAAUUACCAACAGUACUUAUUUAAACUUAGGCAUCAUGUACCAUAUUUGCUUGAAUCUUAUAUAUAAGUUUGUGUAA